UACGUAGGGUGCGAGCGUUGUCCGGAAUUAUUGGGCGUAAAGAGCUCGUAGGCGGUGUGUCACGUCGAUCGUGAAAACUUGGGGCUUAACUCUGAGCUUGCGGUCGAUACGGGCAUCACUGGAGUUCGGCAGGGGAGACUGGAAUUCCUGGUGUAGCGGUGAAAUGCGCAGAUAUCAGGAGGAACACCAAUGGCGAAGGCAGAUCUCUGGGCCGUAACUGACGCUGAGGAGCGAAAGCAUGGGGAGCGAACAGG
Molecule: ribosomal RNA, 254 nt
Filed under: uncultured bacterium
Lineage: Bacteria
Description: partial 16S ribosomal RNA
Rfam family: Bacterial small subunit ribosomal RNA
Source: RNAcentral